UACGUAGGGUGCGAGCGUUAAUCGGAAUUACUGGGCGUAAAGUGUGCGCAGGCGGCCGCGCAAGUCGAGUGUGAAAGCCCCGAGCUUAACUUGGGAAUUGCGCUCGAAACUACGUGGCUGGAGUGUGGCAGAGGAAGGUGGAAUUCCACGUGUAGCGGUGAAAUGCGUAGAGAUGUGGAGGAACACCAAUGGCGAAGGCAGCCUUCUGGGCCAACACUGACGCCCAUGCACGAAAGCGUGGGGAGCAAACAGG
This 253-nucleotide ribosomal RNA is filed under the name uncultured bacterium. Its description in RNAcentral is "partial 16S ribosomal RNA". It matches the Rfam family "Bacterial small subunit ribosomal RNA", at positions 524 to 776 of the family's 1533-position model. The record is from RNAcentral.